GACGAACGCUGGCGGCGUGCUUAACACAUGCAAGUCGAACGAAGAGCGAUGGAGGCUUGCUUCUAUCAAUCUUAGUGGCGAACGGGUGAGUAACGCGUAAUCAACCUGCCCUUCAGAGGGGGACAACAGUUGGAAACGACUGCUAAUACCGCAUACGAUCUAAUCUCGGCAUCGAGGAUAGAUGAAAGGUGGCCUCUACAUGUAAGCUAUCACUGAAGGAGGGGAUUGCGUCUGAUUAGCUAGUUGGAGGGGGAACGGCCCACCAAGGCGAAGAUCAGUAGCCGGUCUUGGAGGAUGGAUCGCCAAAAUGGGACUGAGGCAAGGCCCAGACUUCUACCGGAGGCAGCAGUGGGGAAUCAUCCGAAAUGGAGGAAAGGCUGACGGAGCAAAGCCGCGUGAGUGAUGGCGGCCUUCGGGUUGUAAAGCUCUGUUUGUCGGGAAGAAAGGCCUUCUUGCGAAUAGUGAGAAGGAUUGACGGUACCGGAAUAGAAAGCAACGGCUAACUACGUG
Molecule: ribosomal RNA, 510 nt
Filed under: uncultured bacterium
Lineage: Bacteria
Description: partial 16S ribosomal RNA
Rfam family: Bacterial small subunit ribosomal RNA
Source: RNAcentral